GCCACAGUGUAUGACACUCAAGCUGGUGAGCUGUCUGGAGAGAGAGGAACAUCCACAGCAUUCAGUGGUGAAGGUGCGCCUCGCCUCUCUUCUGUUCAUACUUUAGCAAACAGGCCCUGUUUCCACCUGCUAUUAAAAAGGGAUAGUUCACCCAAAAAUGAAAAUUCUGUCAUUAUUUACUCACCCUCAAGUUGUCAAUGCGGACCAGAAACUGUACAACUGAACUACUUGAGAGUGAGUAAAUGAUAGUAGAAUUGACCAUUUUUGGGUGAACUAUCCCUUAAAGAUACAUUUUUGUUAAUCAGCUUUAACGUGCAUUUCAAUUGAUCACCUAUGUAAAGACAUCCUUUUUUUACGUAACAUCCUACAUCAUGGGAGUGCCAAGUGUGUAUGAACACUAUUAAAUUACCAAACUAUUUGUAUAUGUGUACAUUUUAUGUAUCCUCUCUCUCAGUGUCAAUGGACAGUGGCUCUCUGUUGAUGUCUGAGAUUGUGGAUAUUCCAGAUGACAGCUCCCCAUCCGAGGACUCCUGCCUCAUGGAAGUAGGUGUUGGUGUGAGGCCACGGCCACGGGGGGGCAGCGAGGGAGGGGAGGGGGGAGAGUACGCCAGCCUCCGUUCUUCCACACAACAUCCUGAGGGAAUGGUGGCUCCUUCCAGAAGACGUUGUUUCAGAGGCGAGAGAUCGAACUCCUGCUCCUCCCCGAGCACGUACAACACCUCAACCUACAGGUCUCCAGUGUUGAGGCGUCAAGCUCUGUUGGCAAGUAGCUGCUCUCAGUUGGAGUUUCUAGCAGGAUCUCAACAUUCCUCUAUCCCAGAAAUCCGAGUUCGGCCCUGCACACCUUCCCGACGGGACUCCUCAUCUGCAUUUAGUAACCCACCUACCACAGCCCCAACAGGUCCUGCUCAAGACCGGCCGGACCACGCAGUACCGGUGCUCCUUCCACGGCCAGGUUUCCGUGAGCAAAUUGGACGUGAUAGAAAAGACAGCGACAGCUUCUUACCUCUCAUGAGGUCACACAGUGAACCAGGACUCAGCUCUUCAACUGACACAGGUGAUUUCAGUCUCUCAGGAGGCAAUAAAGGAGUCAGCGAGGGGGGAUCGCAGACCUCAUCAGAAACAGGGGUAUCGUCUGGAGCUGGUUUGCUGCCUCGCUCCUCUCUGGCACUUCCUGCUUCCCUGCCCAGAAAAGGCAGCAUUAAGGCUAUAAGUAGCCGUUUGCCCUCAAAACAAGUCCCAGCCACCUCGCUGCGUUUACCCAAAGACUGUGCACGCUCACUUGGAGACCUCAAGGUCACCAAAGUUUUAGUGCAACGUUUCCUGCAGAGAUCCAAACGUAACUUAGCCCCUGCAACUGAGCAUACCGGAAACUGUACUCAGGGGCCUAAAAGGAGGACAGCAGUUGAUGGAGGUCUGUCAUUAGAACAGGUACUUCGUAACUCUCUGGGGGCCAACAGGGGGCAGCAGCAGCACGUCCACCACCACUGCCGUGGACAUCAUCACUCCCUUAGUGACAGUCGCCAUAAUGCCCGCCGCCAUGAUGACGACCCUGUAAGGGCCGGGGGAAUCCACUUGCGUAGCUGCGGAGACCUCAACUCGACAUCCGUCGCAUCACUGCGCAGAAUCCACCCAGCGCCACAUGGAUCAUCAGGAGCUCUUUACUCAGAAUCUGCCCUCUGAAAUGAGGCGAGGGAUUCUGGAAUUAUUCACAUCUGGACUCAGGAGAGGGGGCAGAGAAAAUCUGAGAAAAGAAUAACAGGUUUGAGAUGAGGAAUUUAUCUUGCUGAAGGGAUGAUGUGAAGCAGAUAAAUAUGCUGUUUGAAAAACAGUAUAUAUACCAUUGGGAAAGCUUUUAGCUUUUUUUAAGCCGAACACUACACCCGAUAUAACGGAGUUUAACCCAUCAGACCCUCUGCUCUCUGUGCCUGACAAACUCUGGUCCUUUUGUUUUGUAUUUCCAUGUAUUUUUUGCUCCAUCUAAUGCUUAUUUCUCACUCACUGUUUACAUGGAUAUGGAAAGAAUGCAGCACCUCUGACGCUGUUCCUUGUCUUCACAGCUCAUUACAAUGCACUCAUGCAACUACAAACAUACAACCAUAUGUUUGGCUGUAACUAUGUUGUGAACUUGGGGGAAUUGAAAGGAAUAAUUAAAGGAAUUAAUUAAAGGAUUUAAAUGGAUUUACGGGAAUACACAAAAAGAAAAAUAACAGUAAAAGAAGCAGGAUGAAAGUAUUUGUAAAGUAUCAAUUCAAUUUGACUUAUUUCCAAAUAGUAUGUUAAUUAAAAAUAGGUACACAUUCAUUUUUUUGUGUAUGCCUAAUACGUCUUCACAUUCAAUUAUGCAUUACUUGAAUCACACAAAUGAUUCAGCCUACAUUUUCAAUUCCAAACAGUGAAAUUUAACAAAUAAAUUUGAGUAGUUUGCAUAUCA
Molecule: long non-coding RNA, 2434 nt
Organism: Cyprinus carpio (common carp)
Lineage: Eukaryota; Metazoa; Chordata; Actinopteri; Cypriniformes; Cyprinidae
Source: Ensembl